ACACAUGCAGUCGAACGAUGAAGCCCNUCGGGGUGGAUUAGUGGCGAACGGGUGAGUAANACGUGGGCAAUCUGCCCUGCACUCUGGGACAAGCCCUGGAAACGGGGUCUAAUACCGGAUACUGAUCGCCUUGGGCAUCCUUGGUGAUCGAAAGCUCCGGCGGUGCAGGAUGAGCCCGCGGCCUAUCAGCUUGUUGGUGAGGUAAUGGCUCACCAAGGCGACGACGGGUAGCCGGCCUGAGAGGGCGACCGGCCACACUGGGACUGAGACACGGCCCAGACUCCUACGGGAGGCAGCAGUGGGGAAUAUUGCACAAUGGGCGAAAGCCUGAUGCAGCGACGCCGCGUGAGGGAUGACGGCCUUCGGGUUGUAAACCUCUUUCAGCAGGGAAGAAGCGAAAGUGACGGUACCUGCAGAAGAAGCGCCGGCUAACUACGUGCCAGCAGCCGCGGUAAUACGUAGGGCGCGAGCGUUGUCCGGAAUUAUUGGGCGUAAAGAGCUCGUAGGCGGCUUGUCGCGUCGGUUGUGAAAGCCCGGGGCUUAACCCCGGGUCUGCAGUCGAUACGGGCAGGCUAGAGUUCGGUAGGGGAGAUCGGAAUUCCUGGUGUAGCGGUGAAAUGCGCAGAUAUCAGGAGGAACACCGGUGGCGAAGGCGGAUCUCUGGGCCGAUACUGACGCUGAGGAGCGAAAGCGUGGGGAGCGAACAGGAUUAGAUACCCUGGUAGUC
This 727-nucleotide ribosomal RNA is filed under the name bacterium xpnta701lb740off11.19. Its description in RNAcentral is "bacterial SSU rRNA". It matches the Rfam family "Bacterial small subunit ribosomal RNA", at positions 51 to 795 of the family's 1533-position model. The record is from RNAcentral.